AGAGCCGCUGCAUGCCGCACACGCACAACCACUGUCGCCGCCAGAUCCUUGCAAUAGGGGGAAAGGCUGAAAAGUGAGCGGAAGAUGGAGACUACCUGAUCCACCGCCGAAGCCCUCAAUCUUCGCUAAUGAACUCGAUGGGCGCUGUCCAGCGGAAGACGGAGAUCCUCGACUCGUGGCUCCCGACGGCUCGUCUGCUGAAGCAACAGCGAGGCGGGCUCAAAAUUAUGGAUGCAGGCGUCACGGCGCGCAUACUGGCCGGAAGAGCGUCCGUGCAGUUGCCGCUCUAUCCUUUCUCGCAUCCGUUCGGGUCGCUGCGGUCGGGCAGCCGCCGAUUCGUUCCAUCUCGCAAUCACCUGAGCCGUCACGGCCACCGCUCCGGUUUCGCGGUCUAUCCUCUCAGCCGUCGCUACAGAGCCGUCUCUCGAUCUCGCUGGUUCAUGGCGACUUGUAACCUUGAGAAUCGCUGGAAAUCGAAGGGAUUAAUUUAGAUUUAGGAAUCCAAUAACUCCCCAACGUUCGGAUUUUGAGCAUUUCGUCCCGAACAUUUUUACAUGACAACUUUAGUUCAUAGGGAUGGCAACUUUAGUUGAUAGGGGAUGACAACUUUG
Triticum dicoccoides is the source of this 611-nucleotide long non-coding RNA. RefSeq lists it as uncharacterized. Lineage: Eukaryota; Viridiplantae; Streptophyta; Magnoliopsida; Poales; Poaceae. The transcript is spliced from 2 exons. The record is from RefSeq and is a predicted model, not a curated record.